This is a long non-coding RNA of Dicentrarchus labrax (European seabass), 534 nucleotides long. RefSeq lists it as uncharacterized. The record is from RefSeq and is a predicted model, not a curated record. Lineage: Eukaryota; Metazoa; Chordata; Actinopteri; Moronidae. The transcript has 3 exons.
CGUUAACAGACCCACAGACCGACAGUGGGUCCGCUACCAGGAGCAUCAGGCUGUAAUAUACAGCAGCAGGCCGAGCUGUGUGCAGGGUGUCGGGGCCGAGCUGUGUGCACGGUGUCGGGGCCGAGCUGUGUGCAGGGUGUCGGGGCCGAGGUGUGUGCAGGGUGUCGGGGCCGAGCUGUGUGCAGGGUGUCGGGGCCGAGCUGUGUGCACGGUGUCGGGGCCGAGCUGUGUGCAGGGUGUCGGGGCCGAGCUGUGUGCACGGUGUCGGGGCCGAGCUGUGUGCAGGGUGUCGGGGCCGAGGUGUCGGGGCCGAGCUGUGUGCAGGGUGUCGGGGCCGAGCUGUGUGCACGGUGUCGGGGCCGAGCUGUGUGCAGGGUGUCGGGGCCGAGCUGUGUGCACGGUGUCGGGGCCGAGCUGUGUGCAGGGUGUCGGGGCCGAGCUGUGUGCAGGGUGUCGGGGCCGAGCUGUGUGCAGGGUGUCGGGGCCGAGGUGUCGGGGCCGAGCUGUGUCUCUCUGCCUGCUUUAAGUGAACUU